AGUUCGAUUAUGGCUCAGAUUGAACGCUGGCGGGAUGCUUACCACACACAUGCAAGUCGAACGGCAGCACGGACUUCGGUCUGGUGGCGAGUGGCGAACGGGUGAGUAAUGUAUCGGAACGUGCCUAGUAGCGGGGGGAUAACUGCGCGAAAGCGUAGCUAAUACCACAUACGCCCUUCGGGAAAGCAGGGGACCUUCGGGCCUCGCACUAU
Molecule: unclassified non-coding RNA, 212 nt
Filed under: uncultured Bordetella sp.
Lineage: Bacteria; Pseudomonadati; Pseudomonadota; Betaproteobacteria; Burkholderiales; Alcaligenaceae
Description: partial 16S-23S ribosomal RNA intergenic spacer
Rfam family: Bacterial small subunit ribosomal RNA
Source: RNAcentral